CUUUCGCUGAAAUAUCCUUUGGUCGAAAUUUCGUCCACCGAAAUAUCUUAAAACUGCCUUAAUCUGGUCCUGUUUGUACGUAUUGUUCUCACGUCGUAUAGGUACUAGUGUACUACACAACAUGAUAACAUGCGAGCAAUCGGUUUUUCAGGGCAAAUGCCGUAAAACCAGUAAAACAGUCUUUAAAUAUGUAUAUAGUUUGGUCUUACUAAACAAAAAUGUUUCGUAUUUUGUAUAAUAUUAUAAUUUUAAAUUUUAAAUAUUUUAUAAAAAAAAAAAAUGUAUUUAAGAAAUAUUUUACCUAAAACAUGG
Molecule: non-coding RNA, 312 nt
Organism: Cinara cedri
Lineage: Eukaryota; Metazoa; Arthropoda; Insecta; Hemiptera; Aphididae
Source: the annotation of a GenBank genome assembly